GGUGAACGUAGCUCAGUAUGGCAGAGCGCUGGGUUGUGGCCCCAGUGGUCGCGGGUUCAAAUCCCGCCGUUCACCCCAG
This 79-nucleotide transfer RNA is filed under the name Dictyoglomus thermophilum H-6-12. RNAcentral describes it as "tRNA-His". It matches the Rfam family "tRNA". Rfam says of the family: Transfer RNA (tRNA) molecules are approximately 80 nucleotides in length. Their secondary structure includes four short double-helical elements and three loops (D, anti-codon, and T loops). The record is from RNAcentral. Lineage: Bacteria; Pseudomonadati; Dictyoglomota; Dictyoglomia; Dictyoglomales; Dictyoglomaceae.